UACGUAGGGUGCAAGCGUUUAAUCGGAAUUACUGGGCGUAAAGCGUGCGCAGGCGGUUUUGUAAGUCUGUCGUGAAAUCCCCGGGCUCAACCUGGGAAUUGCUAUGGAGACUGCAAGGCUAGAAUCUGGCAGAGGGGGGUAGAAUUCCACGUGGUAGCAGUGAAAUGCGUAGAGAUGUGGAGGAACACCGAUGGCGAAGGCAGCCCCCCUGGGUCAAGAUUGACGCUCAUGCACGAAAGCGUGGGGAGCAAACAGG
RNAcentral lists this ribosomal RNA (256 nucleotides) under uncultured bacterium. RNAcentral describes it as "partial 16S ribosomal RNA". It matches the Rfam family "Bacterial small subunit ribosomal RNA", at positions 524 to 776 of the family's 1533-position model. The record is from RNAcentral.